UUGAAAGGGAAACGAUUGAAGUCAGUCGUAUCGACGAGAAAUCAACUCUUCGAGUGCGAACUUGUGGGCGUGCGUGAGCUUCGGUCUCGCUGUUUGCAACGUUUGAGCUUUUUGGGUGUACUUUUUCGUAUGAUAGGCCAACAUCAGUUUCGAACACCAUAAAAUGACCGGCGGAAUGCAGCUUCGAUCUUGUAUUGAAGUGUUAUAGCUUCUGGUAGAUGUGGUGAUCGGGACUGAGGAUUGCAACGAAUACCCUUCGGGUUAUCCGUCUGACCUCUGAAGGUUACUUAGGUGCCGAAAGCUUGCUUACGGUUAUUUAAGUUGACAGUCAAAAGGCUAGAACGUGAUUAUAUUCGUUAAGGAUGUUGACGUA
Molecule: ribosomal RNA, 373 nt
Filed under: uncultured Glomeromycotina
Lineage: Eukaryota; Fungi; Glomeromycota
Description: LSU rRNA
Source: RNAcentral